Molecule: ribosomal RNA, 107 nt
Filed under: Carlito syrichta (Philippine tarsier)
Lineage: Eukaryota; Metazoa; Chordata; Mammalia; Primates; Tarsiidae
Source: RNAcentral
GCCGAGGCCACACCACCCUGAAUGUGCGGAUCCCUUUUGAUGUCGAAAGCAGAGCAGGAUCGGGCGGAGUUAGUACUUGGAUGGGAGAAAAUUAAGUACAGUAGGCG